GUGGUUUAACCUUAGUAGGUAGUCAAGCACCACACAGGCACUUUCUCACUCCUCCUCCUCAAAGUAACAGGGCAGAAAACAAAAUGAAAAAACUCAUUGUUUGAGAUAAGGACAAGGGAGAUCACUUACCAAUUACCAUAAUGGGCAAAACAGACUCAGUGUGGGGACAGUAAUAUAAUUUAUUGCCUAUUACUGGCAAACUAGAGCACUGAGAAACUAAAAGCAAACUAAAACCACCUCUCCCCUAUCUGCCCUCUUCUAUAUUCUCCCCCUGAGGGAGUGCAGGGGAAUGGGGAAUGCGGGAUACGGUCUCCAAAUGCUUUGUCUCCUCCUCUCCUUCAUGGUCACUCCCUGCCCCUGCUCCACGUGGGGUCCUUCCCAUGGGAUGCCGCUCUUCCUGAACUGGUCCUGUGUGGGCUUCCGACAGGCAGCAGCUCCUCAAGAACUAUUCCCACAUGGCUCCAUUCCCACAUGGGUCCAUCCGUCAGGAGCAAACUGCUCCAGCAUGGGUCCCCCUUGGGCGGCAGCUCCCCCACAGACCCACUGCUCCUGCAUGGGCUCCUCUCCAUGGGCUGAAGCUCUGGCCCGGAGCCUGCUCCUGUGGGGGCUCUCUAUGGGCCUCAGCCUCCUCCAGGCCACAUCCACCUUCUCCACUGGGGGCUCCUCCAUGUGCUGCAGCAUGGAGAUGUGGUCUGCCACAGGACCCAUGGGCUGCAGGGGGACAGCCUGCUCCACCAGGGGCCUCGCCACAGGCCACAGAGGAACUGCUGCUGCAUGCCUGGAGCACCUCCUGCCCUCUUUCUGCACUCAGCUUGCGGUCUGCAGGGCUGGUUCUCACCCUUCUCUCUCAGCUGCUGUUGCACAGUAUUUUUUUUUUCCCUUUCUUAAACCUGCUCUUACAGAGGCACAACCAAUGUCACUCACUGGCUUGUCUCUGGCCAGCGGCAGGUCUCUUUUAGAGCUGGCUGGAGCUGGCUCUGCAUGGGGCAGCUUCUGGGCUCUUCUCACAGAGGCCACUACUGCAGCACCCCUGCUACCAAACCCUUCCUACAUAAGCACAGU
RNAcentral lists this long non-coding RNA (1062 nucleotides) under Anas platyrhynchos platyrhynchos (common mallard). RNAcentral describes it as "lncRNA (ENSAPLG00000025670.1)". The record is from RNAcentral. Lineage: Eukaryota; Metazoa; Chordata; Aves; Anseriformes; Anatidae.